CAGAGCCCGGCCCUUAACCAUCUCCUCUCCAGGAGCCACAGCAAGCUUCCAGCCAACGCCCACCGGGGUGACUCCCCCCUGGGUCCAGGGGGUUGAAUGGUGGCCGCCAAAGAUAUAACCAAGUCCCAACUCCCAGGGCCUGUGACUGCGAACCUAUUUGGAAAGAAGGUGCUGUGGAUGCUGGGUCAGCCUCCUGAUUACGUCAAGGGAGAAGAGACUGGGUCUUUCUCGCGGCUCCAUCACGACCAUUCUCUAGGUAGCGGAGGCAGGGCGCCCGGGCCGCAAAGCUACCGCUGAGACAACCAGCUGGCAAGGCAGAGCGUCCAGCAGCUACACUGUAGCCAGUGUUUUCUGUUCCUGUAUCUUUCGAGUUAGCUGCUCUUUAUUACAAGUGAGGAUGACUUUUUAA
This is a non-coding RNA of Equus caballus (horse), 409 nucleotides long. The record is from RefSeq and is a predicted model, not a curated record. Lineage: Eukaryota; Metazoa; Chordata; Mammalia; Perissodactyla; Equidae.